GAUUUAUUUAUUUGACAGAGAGAGACAGCGAGAGAGGGAACACAAGCAGGGGGAGUGGGAGAGGGAGAAGCAGGCUUCCCGCUGAGCAGGGAGCCCGAUGCUGGGCUCGAUCCCAGCACCCUGGGAUCAUGACCUGAGCCGAAGACAGAAGCUUAACGACUGAGCCACCCAGGUGCCCCUCUAAGCAUUCCUUCCCAGAGGAUUCAACUGGUAUACUUGUCUGCGUAUUGUUGGAAGAAAGAGACUGAAGGAGAGAGGCAUAAAAUCAAACUGUAGAGGAUGGAAGAGAUUUGAGUGUGGUUGAAAGUUGACGGAAAGGAGCCAGCAGAGAAGAUAGAGAAGAAAGUGAUAAUCAAAGGCAGAAGAUUUCUGAGAAGAGAGACGGAACACAAGCAGAGGGAGUGGGAGAGGGAGGAGCAGACUCCCCGCUGAGCAGGGAGCCCGAGGUGGGACUCGAUCCUAGGACCCUGGGAUCAUGACCCGAGCCAAAGGCAGACACUUAACGACUGAGCCACCCAGGCGCCCCAAGUUUUUUUUUAAUGAUCCCUGCUUGACCUGCAUCCUGUUCUUACCUGCUGGGCAGCAUUCUCAGGCUGCCCUCUUAGCAGAGUCCACACUAUAAUGUGAUUUCUAAGGAAGCAAUGCUGUUACAAGCCUGUGAAAAGUGAACUUGAAAUGAACAGGGGCUCUAUUCCAGGACUCUGGGAUCAUGACCUGAGCCGAAGGCAGAUGCUUAACGACUGAGCCACCCAGGCGCCCCAUGGUUCACUUCUUAUACAUCCACAGAGCUGGGGGCUUCUUUAACCCACCUAUAAGUUC
This is a long non-coding RNA of Mirounga angustirostris (Northern elephant seal), 819 nucleotides long. RefSeq lists it as uncharacterized. The transcript has 6 exons. Lineage: Eukaryota; Metazoa; Chordata; Mammalia; Carnivora; Phocidae. The record is from RefSeq and is a predicted model, not a curated record.